RNAcentral lists this ribosomal RNA (251 nucleotides) under uncultured prokaryote. Its description in RNAcentral is "partial 16S rRNA". It matches the Rfam family "Bacterial small subunit ribosomal RNA", at positions 525 to 775 of the family's 1533-position model. The record is from RNAcentral.
ACGUAGGGUGCAAGCGUUAAUCGGAAUUACUGGGCGUAAAGCGUGCGCAGGCGGAUAUGUAAGUUAGAAGUGAAAUCCCCGGGCUCAACCUGGGAACUGCUUUUAAGACUGCGUAUCUAGAGUUUGUCAGAGGGGGGUGGAAUUCCAAGUGUAGCAGUGAAAUGCGUAGAGAUUUGGAGGAACACCGAUGGCGAAGGCAGCCCCCUGGGAUAAAACUGACGCUCAUGCACGAAAGCGUGGGUAGCAAACAG